GACGAACGCUGGCGGCGUGCUUAACACAUGCAAGUCGAGCGGGGUCCUUCCUUCGGGAGGGUGUCCUAGCGGCGAACGGGUGAGUAACACGUGGGCAACCUGCCCUCAGCUCUGGGAUAACUCCAAGAAAUUGGGGCUAAUACCGGAUAUGACCGCUGACCGCAUGGUCUGGUGGUGGAAAGAUUUAUCGGCUGGGGAUGGGCCCGCGGCCUAUCAGCUUGUUGGUGGGGUAAUGGCCACCAAGGCGACGACGGGUAGCCGGCCUGAGAGGGUGACCGGCCACACUGGGACUGAGACACGGCCCAGACUCCUACGGGAGGCAGCAGUGGGGAAUAUUGCGCAAUGGGCGGAAGCCUGACGCAGCGACGCCGCGUGGGGAGUGACGGCCUC
This 390-nucleotide ribosomal RNA is filed under the name uncultured bacterium. Its description in RNAcentral is "bacterial SSU rRNA". It matches the Rfam family "Bacterial small subunit ribosomal RNA", at positions 28 to 418 of the family's 1533-position model. The record is from RNAcentral.